This 254-nucleotide ribosomal RNA is filed under the name uncultured bacterium. RNAcentral's name for it is "partial 16S ribosomal RNA". It matches the Rfam family "Bacterial small subunit ribosomal RNA", at positions 524 to 776 of the family's 1533-position model. The record is from RNAcentral.
UACGUAGGGGGCAAGCGUUGUCCGGAUUUAUUGGGCGUAAAGAGCUCGUAGGCGGUUUGGUAAGUCAGGUGUGAAAUCUCCACGCUCAACGUGGAGGGGCCACCUGAUACUGCCAUGACUGGAGUCCGGUAGAGGAGUGUGGAAUUCCCGGUGUAGCGGUGAAAUGCGUAGAGAUCUGGAAGAACACCAAAGGCGAAGGCAGCAUCCUGGGAAGUAACUGACGCUCAUGUGCGAAAGCUAGGGGAGCGAACGGG